This 479-nucleotide ribosomal RNA is filed under the name uncultured bacterium. Its description in RNAcentral is "bacterial SSU rRNA". It matches the Rfam family "Bacterial small subunit ribosomal RNA", at positions 20 to 518 of the family's 1533-position model. The record is from RNAcentral.
UGGCUCAGGACGAACGCUGGCGGCGUGCUUCAUACAUGCAAGUCGAACGAUAAGGCACCUUCGGGUGUACAUAAGUGGCGGACGGGUGAGUAAAAUGUAGAGAAUCUGCCCUAGAGCGGGGGACAACAGCUGGAAACGGUUGCUAAUACCCCAUAUGAGCGUAGCUGAGAUGCUAUUCUUGAAAACUCCGGUGCUCUGGGAUGAGUCUGCAUCUGAUUAGCUAGUUGGGGGUGUAAUGGACCACCAAGGCGACGAUCAGUAGCUGGUUUGAGAGGAUGAUCAGCCACGAUGGGACUGAGACACGGCCCAUACUCCUACGGGAGGCAGCAGUAGGGAAUUUUGCGCAAUGGGGGAAACCCUGAACCGCAGCAACGCCGCGUGAUUGAAGAAGCCCUUCGGGGUGUAAAGAUCUGUCAGUGGGGACGAAACUUGACGGUACCCACAGAGGAAGCAUCGGCUAACUCCGUGCCAGCCGCGGC